This 439-nucleotide ribosomal RNA is filed under the name uncultured bacterium. RNAcentral's name for it is "partial 16S ribosomal RNA". It matches the Rfam family "Bacterial small subunit ribosomal RNA", at positions 338 to 795 of the family's 1533-position model. The record is from RNAcentral.
CCUACGGGAGGCAGCAGUGGGGGAUAUUGCACAAUGGGGGAAACCCUGAUGCAGCGACGCCGCGUGGGUGAAGAAGCGCCUCGGCGCGUAAAGCCCUGUCAGCAGGGAAGAAAAUGACGGUACCUGAAGAAGAAGCCCCGGCUAACUACGUGCCAGCAGCCGCGGUAAUACGUAGGGGGAAGGGUUAUCCGGGAUUUACGGGGGGAAAGGGGGGGGAGAGGGGGAUGCAAGCCAGGAGUGAAAGCCCGGGGCCCAACCCCGGGACUGCUCUUGGAACUGCGUGGCUAGAGUGCAGGAGGGGCAGGCGGAAUUCCUGGUGUAGCGGUGAAAUGCGUAGAUAUCAGGAGGAACACCGGUGGCGAAGGCGGCCUGCUGGACUGCAACUGACGUUGAGGCCCGAAAGCGUGGGGAGCAAACAGGAUUAGAUACCCUUGUAGUC